Molecule: ribosomal RNA, 520 nt
Filed under: uncultured bacterium
Lineage: Bacteria
Description: bacterial SSU rRNA
Rfam family: Bacterial small subunit ribosomal RNA
Source: RNAcentral
UCCUACGGGAGGCAGCAGUGGGGAAUAUUGCACAAUGGAGGAAACUCUGAUGCAGCGAUGCCGCGUGAGGGAAGAAGGUUUUCGGAUUGUAAACCUCUGUCUUCAGGGACGAUAAUGACGGUACCUGAGGAGGAAGCUCCGGCUAACUACGUGCCAGCAGCCGCGGUAAUACGUAGGGAGCGAGCGUUGUCCGGAAUUACUGGGUGUAAAGGGAGCGUAGGCGGGAUCUUAAGUCAGGUGUGAAAACUAUGGGCUCAACCCAUAGACUGCACUUGAAACUGAGGUUCUUGAGUGAAGUAGAGGCAGGCGGAAUUCCUAGUGUAGCGGUGAAAUGCGUAGAUAUUAGGAGGAACAUCAGUGGCGAAGGCGGCCUGCUGGGCUUUUACUGACGCUGAGGCUCGAAAGCGUGGGGAGCAAACAGGAUUAGAUACCCUGGUAGUCCACGCUGUAAACGAUGAUUACUAGGUGUGGGGGGACUGACCCCUUCCGUGCCGCAGUUAACACAAUAAGUAAUCCACCU